This 492-nucleotide ribosomal RNA is filed under the name uncultured bacterium. RNAcentral's name for it is "partial 16S ribosomal RNA". It matches the Rfam family "Bacterial small subunit ribosomal RNA", at positions 29 to 507 of the family's 1533-position model. The record is from RNAcentral.
AGUGAACGCUGGCGGUAGGCCUAACACAUGCAAGUCGAACGGCAGCACAGUAAGAGCUUGCUCUUACGGGUGGCGAGUGGCGGACGGGUGAGGAAUGCAUCGGAAUCUACUUUUUCGUGGGGGAUAACGUAGGGAAACUUACGCUAAUACCGCAUACGACCUACGGGUGAAAGCAGGGGAUCUUCGGACCUUGCGCGAUUGAAUGAGCCGAUGUCGGAUUAGCUAGUUGGCGGGGUAAAGGCCCACCAAGGCGACGAUCCGUAGCUGGUCUGAGAGGAUGAUCAGCCACACUGGAACUGAGACACGGUCCAGACUCCUACGGGAGGCAGCAGUGGGGAAUAUUGGACAAUGGGCGCAAGCCUGAUCCAGCCAUACCGCGUGGGUGAAGAAGGCCUUCGGGCUGUAAAGCCCUUUUGUUGGGAAAGAAAAGCAGCAGGUUAAUACCCCGCUGUUCUGACGGUACCCAAAGAAUAAGCACCGGCUAACUUCGUG